This 429-nucleotide ribosomal RNA is filed under the name Bacillota bacterium. Its description in RNAcentral is "Firmicutes bacterium partial 16S ribosomal RNA". It matches the Rfam family "Bacterial small subunit ribosomal RNA", at positions 355 to 776 of the family's 1533-position model. The record is from RNAcentral. Lineage: Bacteria; Bacillati; Bacillota.
UAGGGAAUCUUCGGCAAUGGACGGAAGUCUGACCGAGCAACGCCGCGUGAGUGAAGGAGGUUUUCGGAUCGUAAAGCUCUGUUGUUAGAGAAGAACGUUGGUAGGAGUGGAAAAUCUACCAAGUGACGGUAACUAACCAGAAAGGGACGGCUAACUACGUGCCAGCAGCCGCGGUAAUACGUAGGUCCCGAGCGUUGUCCGGAUUUAUUGGGCGUAAAGCGGGCGCAGGCGGUUCUUUAAGUCUGAAGUUAAAGGCAGUGGCUUAACCAUUGUACGCUUUGGAAACUGGAGGACUUGAGUGCAGAAGGGGAGAGUGGAAUUCCAUGUGUAGCGGUGAAAUGCGUAGAUAUAUGGAGGAACACCGGUGGCGAAAGCGGCUCUCUGGUCUGUAACUGACGCUGAGGCUCGAAAGCGUGGGGAGCAAACAGG